CUUCUGCCCCCUCAUUCUACAGAUGAAGAAACUGAGUUCUGAAAAUGUGGUCCACAUGCUCAGUCUAUAGUAAAUCUUUGACGCAGACACUAUGUUUCUUGCUAUGCACCUUAUACUUUGAGCAACAGUUUGAGUCACAAAGAGACAAACGCAUUUCUUCAAGAGCACAGUGAAUGAUUCGAAAUGGACUCACUGAGAGAUUCUGAGAUUCUGUAUGCAUGUCAAGGGUCAAACUAUAUCCUUGGAAGCAUCAGCCUGCACGUUUCAUGGUGCCGAUGCUGUUUUCUGUGGGGUGAGAACACUUCUCAUCAUCCAACCUACUGCAGAAAUGGCAAAAGGCAACUGAAUUCUUUUAACAUAAACAGUCCCAAGAAUGUCACCAAAUUAAAGAUGAGGUCAGGUGCAACAAGGGUCAGGGAGUACAAUAAACAUAAAACUUCCUGCUUAUGAGAGGGAAAAAAGCAAGAACAGGAAACCAAUCUGGAAACAUAAUCAUUGAAGCAAUGAUUAAUUUCAGAACACUAAAUCAAAAACUUAUCAUUCAUGACACACCAGUUCAAAAGGAGCUGUGUAAGAUGAAUGGCUUUUAAGGAACAAAGAAUAAACUUCAUUUGCCCAGCCCAAG
RNAcentral lists this long non-coding RNA (625 nucleotides) under Chinchilla lanigera (long-tailed chinchilla). Its description in RNAcentral is "lncRNA (ENSCLAG00000029238.1)". Lineage: Eukaryota; Metazoa; Chordata; Mammalia; Rodentia; Chinchillidae. The record is from RNAcentral.